RNAcentral lists this ribosomal RNA (492 nucleotides) under uncultured bacterium. RNAcentral's name for it is "partial 16S ribosomal RNA". It matches the Rfam family "Bacterial small subunit ribosomal RNA", at positions 29 to 507 of the family's 1533-position model. The record is from RNAcentral.
AGUGAACGCUGGCGGUAGGCCUAACACAUGCAAGUCGAACGGCAGCACAGUAAGAGCUUGCUCUUACGGGUGGCGAGUGGCGGACGGGUGAGGAAUACAUCGGAAUCUACUUUUUCGUGGGGGUUAACGUAGGGAAACUUACGCUAAUACCGCAUACGACCUACGGGUGAAAGCAGGGGAUCUUCGGACCUUGCGGGAUUGAAUGAGCCGAUGUUGGAUUAGUUAGUUGGGGGGGUAAAGGCCCACCAAGGCGACGAUCCGUAGCUGGUCUGAGAGGAGGAUCGGCCACACUGGAACUGAGACACGGACCAGACUCCUACGGGAGGCAGCAGUGGGGAAUAUUGGACAAUGGGCGCAAGCCUGAUCCAGCCAUACCGCGUGGGUGAAGAAGGCCUUCGGGUUGUAAAGCCCUUUUGUUGGGAAAGAAAAGCAGCAGGUUAAUACCCCGCUGUUCUGACGGUACCCAAAGAAUAAGCACCGGCUAACUUCGUG